Molecule: ribosomal RNA, 576 nt
Filed under: uncultured bacterium
Lineage: Bacteria
Description: bacterial SSU rRNA
Rfam family: Bacterial small subunit ribosomal RNA
Source: RNAcentral
ACGGGUGAGUAACACGUGAAUUACAUGCCCUGUAGAGGGGGAUAGCCCAGGGAAACUUGGAUUAAUACCCCAUGGUCUCGCAAGAGUAAAGGUGGCCGCAAGGCUGUCGCUACAGGAUUGGUUCGCGCCCUAUCAGCUUGUUGGCGGGGUAACGGCCCACCAAGGCUACGACGGGUACCUGGUCUGAGAGGACGAUCAGGCACACUGGAACUGAGACACGGUCCAGACACCUACGGGUGGCAGCAGUCGAGAAUAAUUCACAAUGGGGGCAACCCUGAUGGUGCAACGCCGCGUGGAGGAUGACGGUCUUCGGAUUGUAAACUCCUGUCAUCCGGGAGUAAGACCUGGGCAUGAAUAGUGCACAGGGUUGAUAGUACCGGAAGAGGAAGGGACGGCUAACUUCGUGCCAGCAGCCGCGGUAAUACGAAGGUCCCGAGCGUCGUUCGGAAUCACUGGGCGUAAAGGGAGCGUAGGCGGCGUGGUAAGUCAGAUGUGAAAUCCCGGGGCUCAACCCCGGAACUGCAUCCGAUACUGCCGUGCUAGAGGAUUGGAGAGGUAGCUGGAAUUCUUGGUGUA